Molecule: long non-coding RNA, 554 nt
Filed under: Phasianus colchicus (ring-necked pheasant)
Lineage: Eukaryota; Metazoa; Chordata; Aves; Galliformes; Phasianidae
Description: lncRNA (ENSPCLG00000002424.1)
Source: RNAcentral
AGACCCCAAAACCUACUGUUUAGAAUUUGAAUGUUAACUAUUCCUCCUAUCUUAUCAUUCAGCUGAUCAUUGGAACAGUGCAGUUUCAAUGCACUGUUUGUUUAAUAAAGCAAAGAAAAAAUGUGACUUUUUUUGCAUCUGAGUUACAGUUGAGAAAUUAAAUUCAGCUUGUAACAUAUUCAGACCAUCCUCAAGAAUACAUUUUACAUCUUGGAUCAUUUUUCCCCCUCAGGUACAUGCAGCGGCAGUGAAAAUUUGCAGGAUUUCAACAGCGUAACAGGAAAUUUCACCCAUUCAUUUCACUGGCAAUGCUGCAAGAUACUUCACAACCAGCACCUUUUGUGCUCAAGUACCGCUAACAACAGAUCAGCCAUAGAAGAGUAGGAGUACAACUGUGCAUGAAAGAUUUCAGUUGGAAGAAGCUUUGGAUACAAUCUUCCAGAAGGAACCAACACCUUGUAAGGAUAAAAUUAGAGAUGAGAUGUUAAUUUCUGAAAUCCAAAUCUGUUGCUAAAAUGUGAAUAAACAAAAUGAUCUGCCAAUUUUAUGACCCA